RNAcentral lists this unclassified non-coding RNA (423 nucleotides) under uncultured Sebacina. RNAcentral's name for it is "sequence contains ITS2". The stretch from base 1 to 155 matches the Rfam family "5.8S ribosomal RNA". Lineage: Eukaryota; Fungi; Basidiomycota; Agaricomycetes; Sebacinales; Sebacinaceae. The record is from RNAcentral.
AGCUUUUGGCAACGGAUCACUUGGCUCUCGCAUCGAUGAAGAACGCAGCGAAAUGCGAUAAGUAAUGUGAAUUGCAGAUUUUCAGUGAAUCAUCGAAUCUUUGAACGCACCUUGCACCCUUUGGUAUUCCGAAGGGUAUGCUCGUUUGAGUGUCAUUGUACUCUCACACUCUCUGAUCCUUUGGAUUCAGGGAGCGGUGGACUUGGGUGUUUGCUGCUUUCCUAGUGGCUCACCUCAAAUGCGUCAGUGCCCCUCGUGGUUGGACAUAGUACGGCGUGAUAAGUAUCUUCGCCGGCACCUCGCGAGAGGGUGGCUGAUCGGGAGCUCUGUGCUUUCAAACCGUCUUCGGACAAUCUCUGACAACUUGACCUCAACUCGAGUAGGACUACCCGCUGAUCUUAAGCAUAUCAAUAAGCGGAGGCU